AGUGAACGCUGGCGGUAGGCCUAACACAUGCAAGUCGAACGGCAGCACAGUAAGAGCUUGCUCUUACGGGUGGCGCGUGGCGGGCGGGUGAGGAAUACAUCGGAAUCUACUUUUUCGUGGGGGAUAACGUAGGGACACUUACGCUAAUACCGCAUACGACCUACGGGUGAAAGCAGGGGAUCUUCGGAUCUUGCGUGAUUCUAUGAGCCGAUGUCGGAUUAGCUAGUUGGCGGGGUAAAGGCCCACCAAGGCGACGAUCCGUAGCUGGUCUGAGAGGAUGAUCAGCCACACUGGAACUGAGACACGGUCCAGACUCCUACGGGAGGCAGCAGUGGGGAAUAUUGGACAAUGGGCGCAAGCCUGAUCCAGCCAUACCGCGUGGGUGAAGAAGGCCUUCGGGUUGUAAAGCCCUUUUGUUGGGGAAGAAAAGCAGUAGGUUAAUACCUCGCUGUUCUGACGGUACCCAAAGAAUAAGCACCGGCUAACUUCGUG
Molecule: ribosomal RNA, 492 nt
Filed under: uncultured bacterium
Lineage: Bacteria
Description: partial 16S ribosomal RNA
Rfam family: Bacterial small subunit ribosomal RNA
Source: RNAcentral